This 1449-nucleotide ribosomal RNA is filed under the name uncultured Bordetella sp. Its description in RNAcentral is "partial 16S-23S ribosomal RNA intergenic spacer". It matches the Rfam family "Bacterial small subunit ribosomal RNA". The record is from RNAcentral. Lineage: Bacteria; Pseudomonadati; Pseudomonadota; Betaproteobacteria; Burkholderiales; Alcaligenaceae.
GGUUUGAUUCUGGCUCAGAUUGAACGCUAGCGGGAUGCCUUACACAUGCAAGUCGAACGGCAGCAAGGACUUCGGUCUGGUGGCGAGUGGCGAACGGGUGAGUAAUGUAUCGAAACGUGCCCAGUAUGGGGAUAAUCACACGAAAGCACAUACCGCAUACGUUCUCAUGUAAAAGUAGGAUCGCAAGACCUUGCACUAUUGAGCGGCCGAUAUCGGAUUAGCUGAAGCAGGGUAACGGCUCACCAAGGUGACAGAUCCGUAGCUGGUUUUGAGAGGACGACCAGCCACACUGGGACUGGAGAUACGGCCCAGACUCCUACGGGAUACAGUGGGGAAUUUGACAAUGGGGAACCGAUCCAGCCAUCCCGCGUGUGCGAUGAAGGCCUGGUUGUAAAGCACUUUUGGCAGAAAGAAACGUCGUGGGUUAAUACCUCGCGAAACGAUUUCAGUAAUGCAGAAUGCUACCCGCUAGAAUCACGCCAGCAGCCGCGUACACGUAGGUGCAGCGUUAAUCGAAUUUAUUGGGCAAAGGGCGCAGGCAGCUGGAAAAAGAAAAGAUGUAGAAACCAGAGCUUAAAACUUUGGAACUGCAUUUUAACUACCGGGCGAGAGUGUGUCGUAGAGGGAGGUAAAUUCGCGUGUAGCAGGAAUGCGUAGAUAUAUGGAGGAACACCGAUUACAAGGCAGCCUCUGGGAUAACACUGACGCCUUACGCACGAAAGCGUGGGGAGCAAACAGGAUUAGAUACCCUGUAGUCCACGCCCCGUAAACGAUGUCAACUAGCUGUUGGGGCCGGCCCAGGCGCAGCUAACGGCGUGUUGACCGCCUGUGAGCAUGGUCGCAAAGAUUAAAACUCAAGCGAAUUGACGGGGACUCAAACAAGCGUGGAUGAGGGAUUAAUUCGAUGCAACGCGAAAAACUCACUGCAUCUUUGACAUGUCUGGAAUGCCGAAGAGAUUUGGCAGUGCUCGCAAGAGAACCGGAACACAGGAAGUGCACGGCUGUCGUCAGCUCGUGUCGUGAGAUGUUGGGUUAAACCUGCAACGAGCGCAACCCUUGUCAUUAGUUGCUACGAAAGGGCACUCAAUGACUGCUGGUGAGCAACCGAGGAAGGUGGGGUGAUUGUUUACGGCUUCAAGUCCUCAUGGCCCUUAUGGGUAGGGCUUCACACGUCAUACAAUGGUUUCCCGGACAGGGUAGUCGCCAACCCGCGAGGGGAGCCAAUCCCAGAAACCCGAUCGUAGUCCGGAUCGCAGUCUGCAACUCGACUGCGUGAAGUCGGAAUCGCUAUAAAUCGCGGAUCAGCAUGUCGCGGCAACAAGGUUCUGGUCUGGAAGACACCGCCUGCUUCACACCGCUGAGUGGUUUACCAGAAGUAGUUAGCUCAACCGCAAGGGGGCGACGUUUACGGCAGGAUUCAUGACCGGGGCAGGCUCGUAACAGCGGCAG